Molecule: ribosomal RNA, 745 nt
Filed under: uncultured Oribacterium sp.
Lineage: Bacteria; Bacillati; Bacillota; Clostridia; Lachnospirales; Lachnospiraceae
Description: bacterial SSU rRNA
Rfam family: Bacterial small subunit ribosomal RNA
Source: RNAcentral
GAUGAACGCUGGCGGCGUGCCUAACACAUGCAAGUCGAACGAGAUGCGUAUUGGAAAGCUUCGGCCGGAAGAUACGUUAUCUAGUGGCGGACGGGUGAGUAACACGUGGGUAACCUGCCUUAUGGAGGGGGAUAACAGAGAGAAAUCACUGCUAAUACCGCAUAAGCACACAGUACCGCAUGGUACAGGGUGAAAAGAUUUAUCACCAUAAGAUGGACCCGCGUCUGAUUAGCCAGUUGGCAGGGUAAAAGCCUACCAAAGCAACGAUCAGUAGCCGAUCUGAGAGGAUGACCGGCCACAUUGGGACUGAGACACGGCCCAAACUCCUACGGGAGGCAGCAGUGGGGAAUAUUGCACAAUGGGGGAAACCCUGAUGCAGCGACGCCGCGUGAGUGAAGAAGUAUUUCGGUAUGUAAAGCUCUAUCAGCAGGGAAGAUAAUGACAGUACCUGACUAAGAAGCCCCGGCUAACUACGUGCCAGCAGCCGCGGUAAUACGUAGGGGGCAAGCGUUAUCCGGAUUUAUUGGGCGUAAAGCGAGCGCAGGCGGUUAGAUAAGUCUGAAGUUAAAGGCUGUGGCUUAACCAUAGUACGCUUUGGAAACUGUCAAACUUGAGUGCAGAAGGGGAGAGUGGAAUUCCAUGUGUAGCGGUGAAAUGCGUAGAUAUAUGGAGGAACACCGGUGGCGAAAGCGGCUCUCUGGUCUGUAACUGACGCUGAGGCUCGAAAGCGUGGGGAGCGAACAGG